Molecule: RNA transcript, 3514 nt
Organism: Canis lupus familiaris (dog)
Lineage: Eukaryota; Metazoa; Chordata; Mammalia; Carnivora; Canidae
Gene: CHRNE
Gene name: cholinergic receptor nicotinic epsilon subunit
Exons: 13
Source: RefSeq, a predicted model, not a curated record
AGGCGAGCUGCCUCUAACCUGUCUCCUUUGAGGAUGGCUCCCUCUCAGGGCUGUUGAGGAACUGGAGUUCCCAGUCCUGGUGUCUCUCUGGCUCUGAAUCCUCUUCUCCUGGGUUUCCAGAAUCAUCGGUGGAAUCUGUGCGGUAGCACAGAGGCCUUCUCUCUCCGGACCCAGCCCCCAGCGUCCCUGGGAUGCGCUGUGUGCUGGGGUGAUGCUGGGACCUGCCUCCCUGCGUCUCCUCUGUUCUCAAAGGAGAAGGAGGUUCCAGAGCUCCUUUAAGCAGGUGGCCAGACUGGACUUCCAUCUGUCUGUCCUGCAUGGGGAAGUCCCAAGGACUUCAGUUUCCUUUUGCAGGCAGGUUAUUUUUGCUGUAUGAAGGCUUCUCUCCUAUGGGGAUGAAGACAGCCCGAGCUUCCUUGUCAGCACAUCACAGUGAUGGGACAGCAGCUGUCACCUCAGGUGGAGCUGAGGCCAAGAACGAGGAGCUGCAUCUGUACCACCAUCUCUUCGACAACUAUGACCCAGGAAGCCGGCCCGUGAAGGAGCCUGAAGACACGGUCACCAUCACCCUCAAGGUCACCCUGACCAACCUUAUCUCCCUGGUAAGAUGCCCCCACCCGCACCCACCGUCCUGGGGGCUAGUUCCGACCUCCACCACCCUGACUCCGGCUCGUCUCCAGAACGAGAAGGAGGAGACCCUGACCACCAGCGUCUGGAUUGGAAUCGACUGGCAGGAUUACCGACUCAACUACAGCAAGGACGACUUCGGGGGCGUGGAGACCUUGCGGGUCCCUUCGGAGCUCGUAUGGCUCCCGGAGAUUGUGCUGGAGAACAACAUUGACGGCCAGUUCGGCGUGGCCUACGACGCCAACGUGCUGAUCUACGAGGGCGGCUACGUGAGCUGGCUGCCCCCCGCCAUCUACCGCAGCACCUGCGCCGUGGAGGUCACCUACUUCCCCUUCGACUGGCAGAACUGCUCGCUGGUCUUCCGCUCGCAGACGUACAAUGCCGAGGAGGUGGACUUCGUCUUCGCCGUGGACGACGACGGCGAGACCAUCAGCAAAAUCGACAUCGACACCGAGGCCUACACGGAGAACGGCGAGUGGGCCAUCGACUUCUGCCCCGGGCUGAUCCGUCGCCCCAACGGAGCCUCCGCUGGGGACCCGGGGGUCGUCGACGUCAUCUACACGCUCAUCAUCCGCCGGAAGCCGCUCUUCUACGUCAUCAACAUCAUCGUGCCCUGCGUGCUCAUCUCGGGCCUGGUGCUGCUCGCCUACUUCCUGCCCGCGCAGGGUAAGGGGCCGCGGGACCCUGAGCCCGGCUCGCUGCUGGCGGGGCGGCUCUCACCGGGCGCUCCCUCCAGCCGGCGGCCAGAAGUGCACCGUUUCCAUCAACGUCCUACUCGCCCAGACCGUCUUCCUGUUCCUGAUCGCUCAGAAAAUCCCCGAGACGUCGCUGAGCGUGCCGAUGCUGGGCAGGUACCUCAUCUUCGUCAUGGUGGUUGCCACGAUCAUCGUCAUGAACUGUGUCAUCGUGCUCAACGUGUCUCUGCGGACGCCCACCACACACGCCAUGUCCCCGCGGCUGCGCCACGUCCUGCUGGAGCAGCUGCCCAGCCUCCUGGGCUCCAGCGCACCCCCCGAGGCUCCCCGGGCCGCCCCGCCGCCCAGGCGCGCGUCCUCGGUGGGCCUGCUGCUCCGUGCGGAGGAGCUGAUCCUGAAAAAGCCGCGGAGCGAGCUCGUAUUCGAGGGGCAGAGGCACCGGCACGGGGCCUGGACUGCAGCUGCCCUCUGCCAGAGCCUGGGCGCCGCCGCCCCCGAGAUCCGCUGCUGCGUGGAGGCUGUGAACUUCGUGGCCGAGAGCACACGGAGCCAGGAGGCCUCCGUCGAGGAGGUGUCCGACUGGGUGCGCAUGGGGAAGGCCCUGGAUCACCUCUGCUUCUGGGCCGCCUUGGUGCUGUUCGGCGUGGGGUCCAGCGUCAUUUUCCUUGGGGGCUACUUCAACCAAGUGCCUGAGCUGCCCUACCCACCGUGCAUGUAGCCGGCUUCCCCACCCGGUUCCCGGGGCGGGGUGGGGUGGGGGGCUGCUGUACGGUGAUCCUUUACCGACCUCACUUUUAUCGACCGCCCGACCGCCCCUAAUAAAUCGGAGCUUUGCCAACCUCACAAGAGGAGUUGCGUGUGCGUGCGGCAUGUAGGUCUGGCCACCGCGGGGUCCGGAGCCGAGGGUUCUCGGAUGCCGGCCCUCCGGAAACCACUCGGUAUCCCUCCUCAAGCCCUGCUGACCCCUCUAGCCCCAGGAGCUGUUAUCGUCAUCAGCGGAUCGCCAAACUUAAAGGUCCCCUCCAGCCCACAGGCACCACGUCCUUAAUGAUCCGCCCAUAUGUGUUGACGUAGACGCCUUCGUCCUCGUAGCACAGCAGCAUCUCCAUGCCGUCAGUGUUGGGGAGGAAGAUGAUGGCAUGGGGCGUGAUCUGGCUCUGGAUCUGGGGAUGAGAGGAUGGACUGCAGGCAGUGCACCCUGAGCCGGGGCUUGUGGCUGCGCUCUACCCAAAGCCCUGCCGAGCUUACAUGCACAGGGAUGUAGAUGUCAUAGCUGUUCCCCGAGUCCACGUCCACAGCAUGGAAGCCGGCACUGGAGCCAUAGAUGACCUUGAGCCGCUGACCCUCCUCCACAGUCAGGUCAACCAGCAGAGGACGGUGAGGGAGAUCUGCGAAGGACUGAGGAGGGGAGGGGACUCAGGGGGGAUGGCCAGGGACUCAGGGGGGGGGUGCAGAGGGGAGAAGGGGCUCAGGGGGCAUGUCUAGGGCAGUGGGGGGUACGGGGGCAGAGGGGGGCCCCUGAGGCUACCUUGAAGGCCAUGAACUUGUGGUAGGGUUUGGGGGCCCAGGCGUACACCUCCACGGAGCUCUUCAGCGCGAUGACCAGGAACUUAAUGCGCUCGUACUUCACUGGGGGGCAGGCAAGCAAGGGGAGGGGUGUCAUCCAGGAAGCCCAGACCCCGAUCCCUCUUCUUGGAAACAUGCCCCUGGCACCCCACGGUGCCCUCCUCACCCACGCGGUAGUGCCCGCAGCCCUCCAUGUCGCCCACGGUGGUCCAGCCCUGCUUCUUCUCCACGUCCGGGUCAUUGUGCAGAAUCUUGUUCCGGAGCCAGGACAGGCUACAGGCAGCGGACGGAGCAUCUGGGGUCCCCAGCCUGUGCCCCGCGCACCUGAGAUGGUGAUGAGCAAGUUGAGCCCUUCUAGGACAUCCAUUUGCUGGAAGCGCCGCCGCCCGAUGAGCCCAUACACCUUGCCCUGCCCGCUCCGGUCCAGUAGCAUCAGGCCAUUCUCUGUGCCCACCAGCAGGUUGACACCUGCAGCGGGAGCCCCUGGGCGGGUCACUGGUGGCCAGCCCUCGCCCGACUGGGGGCCCAGGGGUGCCAGCAGACCCUGCUCUCCCUCCCUGGCCCUGGCUCACCCCAAAGAGCUGCACAGAGGAUCUCUGAAUUAAACCGCUUCUUGUACUUGCGAA